UUCCUACGGGGCGCAGCAGUGAGGAAUAUUGGUCAAUGGGCGCAGGCCUGAACCAGCCAAGUCGCGUGAGGGAAGACUGCCCUAUGGGUUGUAAACCUCUUUUAUAAGGGAAGAAUAAAUGCUACGUGUAGCAUGAUGCCUGUACCUUAUGAAUAAGCAUCGGCUAACUCCGUGCCAGCAGCCGCGGUAAUACGGAGGAUGCGAGCGUUAUCCGGAUUUAUUGGGUUUAAAGGGUGCGUAGGCGGUUUUUUAAGUUAGUGGUUAAACGUCGGGGCUUCCCCUUGAUUUGCCAUUAA
This 296-nucleotide ribosomal RNA is filed under the name uncultured bacterium. RNAcentral's name for it is "partial 16S ribosomal RNA". It matches the Rfam family "Bacterial small subunit ribosomal RNA", at positions 336 to 630 of the family's 1533-position model. The record is from RNAcentral.